RNAcentral lists this long non-coding RNA (199 nucleotides) under Lathyrus oleraceus (garden pea). RNAcentral describes it as "Pisum sativum (pea) long non-coding RNA (PSAT_LNC003820)". The record is from RNAcentral. Lineage: Eukaryota; Viridiplantae; Streptophyta; Magnoliopsida; Fabales; Fabaceae.
GGGAAUGUUGAGUUUGUUGUUGGUAGUCUUCAUGGUAUUGGGAUUGAGUUUGUGGUAUGUAUUGUUGAUUUGGUUGGGGGGUGGACAUGUGUUGUGGUUGUUGUUGUUGGUAAUAUGGUGGUGGUGGUUGUUGUUGGUAAUAAGGUGGUGGUGGUUGUUGUUGGUAAAAUGGUUGUGGUGGUUGUUGUUGGUAAUAAGG